GAGCAGCCCAGAGCCUGAAUCAGUAUGUGUGUUAGUGGAAGCGUCUGGAAAGGCGCGCGAUACAGGGUGACAGCCCCGUACACAAAAAUGCACAUGCUGUGAGCUCGAUGAGUAGGGCGGGACACGUGGUAUCCUGUCUGAAUAUGGGGGGACCAUCCUCCAAGGCUAAAUACUCCUGACUGACCGAUAGUGAACCAGUACCGUGAGGGAAAGGCGAAAAGAACCCCGGCGAGGGGAGUGAAAAAGAACCUGAAACCGUGUACGUACAAGCAGUGGGAGCACGCUUAGGCGUGUGACUGCGUACCUUUUGUAUAAUGGGUCAGCGACUUAUAUUCUGUAGCAAGGUUAACCGAAUAGGGGAGCCGAAGGGAAACCGAGUCUUAACUGGGCGUUAAGUUGCAGGGUAUAGACCCGAAACCCGGUGAUCUAGCCAUGGGCAGGUUGAAGGUUGGGUAACACUAACUGGAGGACCGAACCGACUAAUGUUGAAAAAUUAGCGGAUGACUUGUGGCUGGGGGUGAAAGGCCAAUCAAACCGGGAGAUAGCUGGUUCUCCCCGAAAGCUAUUUAGGUAGCGCCUCGUGAAUUCAUCUCCGGGGGUAGAGCACUGUUUCGGCAAGGGGGUCAUCCCGACUUACCAACCCGAUGCAAACUGCGAAUACCGGAGAAUGUUAUCACGGGAGACACACGGCGGGUGCUAACGUCCGUCGUGAAGAGGGAAACAACCCAGACCGCCAGCUAAGGUCCCAAAGUCAUGGUUAAGUGGGAAACGAUGUGGGAAGGCCCAGACAGCCAGGAUGUUGGCUUAGAAGCAGCCAUCAUUUAAAGAAAGCGUAAUAGCUCACUGGUCGAGUCGGCCUGCGCGGAAGAUGUAACGGGGCUAAACCAUGCACCGAAGCUGCGGCAGCGACGCUGAUGCGUUGUUGGGUAGGGGAGCGUUCUGUAAGCCUGCGAAGGUGUGCUGUGAGGCAUGCUGGAGGUAUCAGAAGUGCGAAUGCUGACAUAAGUAACGAUAAAGCGGGUGAAAAGCCCGCUCGCCGGAAGACCAAGGGUUCCUGUCCAACGUUAAUCGGGGCAGGGUGAGUCGACCCCUAAGGCGAGGCCGAAAGGCGUAGUCGAUGGGAAACAGGUUAAUAUUCCUGUACUUGGUGUUACUGCGAAGGGGGGACGGAGAAGGCUAUGUUGGCCGGGCGACGGUUGUCCCGGUUUAAGCGUGUAGGCUGGUUUUCCAGGCAAAUCCGGAAAAUCAAGGCUGAGGCGUGAUGACGAGGCACU
RNAcentral lists this ribosomal RNA (1274 nucleotides) under Escherichia coli. Its description in RNAcentral is "partial 23S ribosomal RNA". It matches the Rfam family "Bacterial large subunit ribosomal RNA", at positions 295 to 1578 of the family's 2925-position model. The record is from RNAcentral. Lineage: Bacteria; Pseudomonadati; Pseudomonadota; Gammaproteobacteria; Enterobacterales; Enterobacteriaceae.